GCGGGCAGUUGGCGACCCUGCACUGACCCGCGUCCCUCCGUCCCGAGCCCGCGCGCCCUCAGAGGGGGCCCGGACAGACUGAAGCCAUGGCGAUUCUUUUUGCUGUUGUUGCCAGGGGGACCACUAUCCUUGCCAAACAUGCUUGGUGUGGAGGAAACUUCCUGGAGGUGACAGAGCAGAUUCUGGCUAAGAUACCUUCUGAAAAUAACAAACUAACGUACUCACAUGUUAUUUGUUUCAUUACAUCUGCCAAGACAGGAUUGUAUAUCUUUGUAUCACUGAUGAUGAUUUUGAACGUUCCCGAGCCUUUAAUUUUCUGAAUGAGAUAAAGAAGAGGUUCCAGACUACUUAUGGUUCAAGAGCACAGACAGCACUUCCGUAUGCCAUGAAUAGCGAGUUCUCAAGUGUCUUAGCUGCACAGCUGAAGCAUCACUCUGAGAAUAAGGGCCUAGACAAAGUGAUGGAGACUCAAGCCCAAGUGGAUGAACUGAAAGGAAUCAUGGUCAGAAACAUAGAUCUGGUAGCUCAGCGAGGAGAAAGAUUGGAAUUAUUGAUUGACAAAACAGAAAAUCUUGUGGAUUCUUCUGUCACCUUCAAAACUACCAGCAGAAAUCUUGCUCGAGCCAUGUGUAUGAAGAACCUCAAGCUCACUAUUAUCAUCAUCAUCGUAUCA
RNAcentral lists this small RNA (673 nucleotides) under Pan troglodytes (chimpanzee). RNAcentral describes it as "processed transcript". The record is from RNAcentral. Lineage: Eukaryota; Metazoa; Chordata; Mammalia; Primates; Hominidae.